RNAcentral lists this long non-coding RNA (823 nucleotides) under Triticum aestivum (bread wheat). Its description in RNAcentral is "long non-coding RNA (TAES_LNC013195)". The record is from RNAcentral. Lineage: Eukaryota; Viridiplantae; Streptophyta; Magnoliopsida; Poales; Poaceae.
AUCGAUAUUGCGUUGCAUUCGCUAGCAAGAGCUCCUCCCCGCUAAGAUACUGCUUCAUUCCCGCUCGAGGAAAGGAAAGAGGCACGAGCGAUGGCAUGAUUCAGGAACUUGAACAUCGGCGCAGGUGAGAUCCCUCCCCAUCCUCCUCCCCCUCGUCCUGCCCAUCCCCGGCGAGGCUCCGGUCGUCCCUAUCUUGCUCCCUCCCCGCGCCAAUCCUGUACCCCCUCUCCCGCGUCGUCUCAACAGCCAUGCCGUCCGAGGUGCUCUGUCCCCACGGCGGCGGCGGCCCCUGUCUUUUGCCUACCAUGGCAAGAGCCCCCCUCGCCCCCUAGCUACUAGUGCUUGAACCCCCAUCUGGACCGCCCCCGGGUCCCCUCUUACCCCCUCAUCCAGAACCCUAGAAAUCUUCUCAGAUCCCUGAUUUCUCUGCCUCUUGCAGGUCACUUGGUGGGUGUAUGGAUCCUUCUCAGCAGCUCGAUUCAAGGCAUGUGAUGUUCAUAGGUGUAUGUGAUGUUGAUCUAAAUCUGGCUAUAGAUGUUUGUGUUCUAGUAAUGGCAUUAGGAAUUGUAGGGGUUUUAGAUCUGUAACGUUGUUGCAGUCAACAAUUAUGUUUGUGGUGCUUCUUUUAUUGUCUUCUAGUAGGUCUUCAUAGUUGCAACUUGCUGUGCAAUUUUAUUGUUUGAUGUUUGCUUGACUAAAUGCUCCAGUUUUAUUGCUUGAAAAGCUGUAUAAAUGAUUGAUGGCUAAUAACUAAAUUAUUAUGUAGUUCCAUAACAUCAGAUCAAGUAGACAUGAUUUCAUACAUAACUGAAGAGAACAAAAG